This 245-nucleotide ribosomal RNA is filed under the name uncultured Oscillospiraceae bacterium. RNAcentral describes it as "partial 16S ribosomal RNA". It matches the Rfam family "Bacterial small subunit ribosomal RNA", at positions 524 to 768 of the family's 1533-position model. Lineage: Bacteria; Bacillati; Bacillota; Clostridia; Eubacteriales; Oscillospiraceae. The record is from RNAcentral.
UACGUAGGUGACAAGCGUUAUCCGGAUUUACUGGGUGUAAAGGGCGUGUAGGCGGGUCUGCAAGUCAGAUGUGAAAUACUGGGGCUUAACCCCGGAACUGCAUCUGAAACUGCGGAUCUUGAGUACCGGAGAGGAAAGUGGAAUUCCCAGUGUAGCGGUGAAAUGCGUAGAGAUUGGGAGGAACACCAGUGGCGAAGGCGGCUUUCUGGACGGUAACUGACGCUGAGGCGCGAAAGCGUGGGGAG